Molecule: ribosomal RNA, 885 nt
Filed under: Trichoderma reesei
Lineage: Eukaryota; Fungi; Ascomycota; Sordariomycetes; Hypocreales; Hypocreaceae
Description: SSU rRNA
Rfam family: Eukaryotic small subunit ribosomal RNA
Source: RNAcentral
CUGCAUGUCUAAGUAUAAGCAAUUAUACCGCGAAACUGCGAAUGGCUCAUUAUAUAAGUUAUCGUUUAUUUGAUAAUACUUUACUACUUGGAUAACCGUGGUAAUUCUAGAGCUAAUACAUGCUGAAAAUCCCGACUUCGGAAGGGAUGUAUUUAUUAGAUUAAAAACCAAUGCCCCUCGGGGCUCUCUGGUGAAUCAUGAUAACUAGUCGAAUCGACAGGCCUUGUGCCGGCGAUGGCUCAUUCAAAUUUCUUCCCUAUCAACUUUCGAUGUUUGGGUAUUGGCCAAACAUGGUGGCAACGGGUAACGGAGGGUUAGGGCUCGACCCCGGAGAAGGAGCCUGAGAAACGGCUACUACAUCCAAGGAAGGCAGCAGGCGCGCAAAUUACCCAAUCCCGACACGGGGAGGUAGUGACAAUAAAUACUGAUACAGGGCUCUUUUGGGUCUUGUAAUCGGAAUGAGUACAAUUUAAAUCCCUUAACGAGGAACAAUUGGAGGGCAAGUCUGGUGCCAGCAGCCGCGGUAAUUCCAGCUCCAAUAGCGUAUAUUAAAGUUGUUGUGGUUAAAAAGCUCGUAGUUGAACCUUGGGCCUGGCUGGCCGGUCCGCCUCACCGCGUGCACUGGUCCGGCCGGGCCUUUCCCUCUGCGGAACCCCAUGCCCUUCACUGGGUGUGGCGGGGAAACAGGACUUUUACUUUGAAAAAAUUANAGUGCUCAAGGCAGGCCUAUGCUCGAAUACAUUAGCAUGGAAUAAUAGAAUAGGACGUGUGGUUCUAUUUUGUUGGUUUCUAGGACCGCCGNAUUGAUUAAUANGGACAGUCGGGGGCAUCAGUAUUCAAUUGUCAGAGGNGAAAUUCUUGGAUUUAUUGAANACUAACUACUGG